CACAGGUAUAUUUGUAGCAAUAGACAACAAUACAUUGUAUGGGUCACAAUUAUACAUUUCUCUUUUAUGACAAAAAUCAUUAGGAUAUUAAGAUCAUGUUCCAUGAAGAUAUUUAGUAAAUUUCCUACCGUAAAUAUAUCAAAACUUAAUUAUUGAUUAGUAAUAUGCAUUGCUAAGAACUUCAUUUGAACAACUUUAAAGAUGAUUUUCUCAAUAUUUAGAUUUUUUUGCUCCCUCAGAUUCCAGAUUUUCAAAUAGUUGUAUCUCAGACAAAUAUUGUCCUCCUGACAAACCACACAUCAAUGGAGAGAUUAUUUAUUCAGCUUCAGAUGAUGUAUAAAUCUCAAUUUCAAAAAACUGACCUUUAUGACUGGUUUUGUGAUCCAGGGUCACAUAUAUUAUGUAAAAAAACUUUUAUUUUGGAUGUGAUUAAUCAUUGCCCAGCAGUAGUUUACAGUUGCCUCAGUUAAAGCCGGACAUGAUGUUUGUAUGACUUCAGAAUCAUCCACUAAAAGCGUCUGCUGCACCCUGUACAGAUAAAACUACACAAAUGAGAUGUUUUCUUUCCUGUGUUGAUGUGUUUCCUACUGAAACAGAGAGUCGGUGGGACAUGCGGUAUUUAAGGGCUCAUGUGUUUUAACCCUCUGGUGUUGUUUGGUCAGUUUAGACCGAAAAAAAUAUGGACUUGAUUUGAAAAAGCUAAAUGGUCAUAAAAAAAUAGUCCUACUUAUGUUGUUCACAUCUCAAAAAUGACCACCAUAGGAAAUGAAUGGGAAAUAGGCAAAAAAAAAAAAAAAAAUUCAACAAUGCAAAGAUGUUUUUGUGUGUACAAUCUACAAAUUAGUCACAAUGCAGAAAAAGUGCACAGCAAUAAAGAGGUGACAAAACUUGAGUAAUUAUGCCUGAAAACACUGCUCAGUAACUAAGGAAUGCACAGCAUUGAAUUUAUACGGCUAUACUGGCAGCUAAUGGCUGCUCCAUGGUGGAACACAUCUGCUUCAAAUCUAGGAAUUUUAAAUACUUUUGCUCUAUUUUUAACUCAAAUACUGCAUUAAUUGAAAAAUUAUAUAUAUAUAUAUAUAUAUAUAUAUAUAUAUAUAUAUAUAUUACAAUUUAUACAGAAAAUAGUCCAUAAUUUAGAUGUGGAUAUUAAUUAGUAACAUGACACACACUCAAAAUGCAAAAUAUUAAAGCAAAAAACAAUAUAGAAAUUAAAUACAGUAUAUUCAUUUUGCAAAAAUUAAAUUUUUACACAAUUAUGGCCUCCGGUCAGUUUUGACCGUUAAUAACGCGACUCCCAAAGGAACAAUACCAGAGGGUUAAAUCAUUCACUUUGUCCAAACCUACAUGAUUUUCUCACAGGUUUGGCUCAUAAUGUACAUAAAAUAGGUUUCAUUUGGACUUUAAUUCAAUGCUAAAGAAAGAGUUCACCCAAAAAUGGUCAUUCUGUCAUCAUUUACACACCCUCAAAGCUUUCUGUCUUCUGCUGAACACAAAAGAAGAUAUUUUGAAGAAUGUUGGGAAACAAAAAGUAGCUGCUAGCCGUUGACCUCCAUAAUAUGAAGAAAACACUACGGACGUCAACAUUUUUGGGUGAACUCUUCCUGGUUUCUGUGCUUCAUUGGGGUUUAUGUGGAUGUUCUGUGAUGCUCAAAGUCGUGGUUCUCUGUGAUUUUGUACUUUCAGCUCUGAACUGUUUUACUGCUGAUUUCGCCCUCAUGAAUGUUUUAAAAAUGUAUUUCCACUUUAAGUCAAGUGCACACUACAAAACCAAAGCACUUCAUGUUUUUAGGGUAACACUUUAUUUCGAGUUCACUUUAGACUUUCUGCUAACUACAAGUAUCUUUGCAACUACAUGCCAACUAGCAGAGUAUUAGUAGACCGUCUGCUGAAUAUCUGCCACACAACAGACUUCUACUAACUCUAAGCAGCGCUGGGUAACUGAUUACAUGUGAUCCGGAUCAGGUAACCAGAUUCCAAAAAUGAAGUACUUGUAAUUAGAUUUAAAACACUUCAUGAUGUUGACAUUAAAGAACAGAAUAUAUUCUCUUACAAGUUACGCCAAAAGUAAUCUAAAAGUACCAAAUAUGUGUAAUCAAAUAUAUUAUGUGACAAACUGCAGUUUUGCUCAUGUAAUUUGUAAUUGUUUGUUGACAUGCAGUUACUUUAAUGUCCCAAGCGGACUAUCGUAAUAAAGUGUGACUGUUUUAAAUUUGUGAGAAUGCAGCAAAAAAAACUCCAGACUGCAGCCUGAAGUUGUAAUUUCUAAUGCAAAACCUGUAAGUACUGAAGUACAAUUAAAUGAGGAAACUUUUUUAUUUCUAAUAAAUCACUGGCUAGAUACUUGUGUGAAAUAUUGAGAUUAAAAGUAAGAUUCCUCUGUACUUUUAAACCCCCGAGAGCAGAAACGAGCCAGAAAAACAGCAAGAGCAUGAAGCAGCGCCAGCGGAGGCCGAGGCCGUGGGAAGACGGAGCCAAAAAAACCUGCUGCCCACGUCUCCUCAAACGCCGUCGCAUCCCGGAUUUUUGGCUUAUUUUUUCCUGUUCUGCAAAUCAGUGUAAAAACAAGUGCAAAACCCUCCUGCAUUCUGAGAAGAAUAAACUGUGAGAACUCAUACUGGGAUUCAGGCGGGGAGGAAGUGACCUUGUGAUUACUGCAUUAUGGAUCAGUUGUGUAGUAUGCAUUCCUGCAGCUCAAAGAGUAGAUCAUGGCUUGCAACAGUAAGGUCAUGGGUUCGAUUCCUGGAAUGCAUGAACUGAUCCAAGGUAUACCUCAAAAGCAGUGCAAGUCAGUUUGGAUUAAAGCCUCUGCCAAAUGCGUACAUGUAAAUGGCUUAUACAGUAAAUCAUGGCUUGCAACAGCAAGGUCAUAGGUUCGAUUCCCAGGAAUGCAUGACCUGAUAAAAUGUAGACCUUGAAUGCAGUGGAUAAAAUCGUCUGCCAGUUGCAUAAAUGUGUGUAAACCAAUAUGACACAAAACACAAGCUGUGAGUGUUAAAUGUCCUUCUGUCUUGUAGUGUGCACUUGGCCUGUUGAACUGUAAGGUCGUGACCUCUCUGAGCAAAUUCUGCAGGACUUGAGCCUCUUCUUUAUGUUUUUACAGCAGAACAGUAGUGCAAAAACAACUUCAAGCUGGUCCAGGGGUGUCUGCGGCAAAUAAAAGCUAUAACUGUACAAUGUGGGAGGAAAAUGAUCAAUAAUGAAUUCCUCUUUUAUUUGUGAUAUGUUAUAUUUGAUUAUUGUGUUCUAUGCAUAUCCGGUUGGGAGUUUAGUGCCUGUUUCUGUCAGAUUAUGUAGUUCAGAAUGCGAAACCAAGAUGCCGUUUGAUUACAAAUAAAUAAAUAUGGUGGUUUUUAUAUGGUUAGAAAACAAUACGCCCUCAAAAACAUGUAAAUGACUCUGAAAAUAAACUAAGACCUCUGAUUAUGAUGGAGGAUUUCAGAUUUCCUCUUGGUAAAAAGUGUAUUUUUCACAGGGAUUUGAGCGACUGGCUGAUCAUCUCUGUCUGUCUUGUGAACAUUUGCUGUUUUUCCAGUACGUUUGGAGUAAAACUGAUCAGAGAUCAUGUCAUGUAGGUGUUGUGCUGGAACAGCCACAGAUCUUCUGAUUGUAGAGAUACAGUGUUGUUGUUUCUGUGAUUCAGGUCUGACUCCAGAAGUUAAAAUCUGAGGGUUUUACAAGAUUUCAGAUCAAAUAUAGAGUCACACUCCCCUCUAGUGGUCAUAAUAAAAUUCCUAAAAAUAUGAUAGAGAGAGAGAGAGACAGAGAGACUGUUAUUUAAAUAUAUAUAUAUAACUGUUAUUUAAACACACACUUUCUGAAAAACUUUGGUGUUCACUAUUUCUUUAUUCAGGACAAUGUACAUCUUUGUAUUGAUUACUAUAGCACUGGGAGUGAUAAAUUAUAAACCGCUGUACAAAGUUAUAUGAGUUUUGUCUAUACUGAGAUGUUUGAUCAAUAAAACCAAAUGUGAUUUUGUGGUUA
This is a long non-coding RNA of Cyprinus carpio carpio, 3984 nucleotides long. The record is from Ensembl. Lineage: Eukaryota; Metazoa; Chordata; Actinopteri; Cypriniformes; Cyprinidae.